AAUUGGUUUUUAAUUAUUAUUAUUAUUUUUUUUUUUUUUUUUCUUCCGCCUAAUUUUUUUUCUUGCGUAUUAUUGAUGUUUCAAAAGAUGUCGCUUAGAUAUUUGGAAUAUGGUAUCGUAUAGUUUAUACGCUUUAAAAAAUUUACAACUGUGUAAACAAAAUACUUUACGUUGUAAGAGUUAUCUCCCCAAACACUGUUUUUCUUGUGGCCACUACUCCUUCGCAACCGUUAAAGAUUACGACAAAUUUAUUUUACCAAAUUGCUCGUUACAUCUUCAGGAUUAGGAUAUUCAUUUGGACCGAAGCUUUACGGAGACUCCAUAUGAGAGUUAUUCCCCCUUUUCCCUUAAAUUAAGUGAUAUGCAUUUCUAAAUGGUAAACCAUAAGUGAUAAAGACAUAGGGUCUUUAGAUUUGGGGUCCUUGGUCGAAAA
This 433-nucleotide long non-coding RNA is filed under the name Mytilus galloprovincialis (Mediterranean mussel). Lineage: Eukaryota; Metazoa; Mollusca; Bivalvia; Mytilida; Mytilidae. The record is from RNAcentral.